GAUGAACGCUGGCGGCGUGCCUAAUACAUGCAAGUCGAGCGAACAGACGAGGAGCUUGCUCCUCUGACGUUAGCGGCGGACGGGUGAGUAACACGUGGAUAACCUACCUAUAAGACUGGGAUAACUUCGGGAAACCGGAGCUAAUACCGGAUAAUAUAUUGAACCGCAUGGUUCAUAGUGAAAGACGGUUUUGCUGUCACUUAUAGAUGGAUCCGCGCCGCAUUAGCUAGUUGGUAAGGUAACGGCUUACCAAGGCAACGAUGCGUAGCCGACCUGAGAGGGUGAUCGGCCACACUGGAACUGAGACACGGUCCAGACUCCUACGGGAGGCAGCAGUAGGGAAUCUUCCGCAAUGGGCGAAAGCCUGACGGAGCAACGCCGCGUGAGUGAUGAAGGUCUUCGGAUCGUAAAACUCUGUUAUUAGGGAAGAACAAAUGUGUAAGUAACUAUGCACGUCUUGACGGUACCUAAUCAGAAAGCCACGGCUAACUACGUG
Molecule: ribosomal RNA, 496 nt
Filed under: uncultured bacterium
Lineage: Bacteria
Description: partial 16S ribosomal RNA
Rfam family: Bacterial small subunit ribosomal RNA
Source: RNAcentral